CGGGUGAGUAAUGUCUGGGAAACUGCCUGAUGGAGGGGGAUAACUACUGGAAACGAUAGCUAAUACCGCAUAACGUCGCAAGACCAAAGAGGGGGACCUUCGGGCCUCUUGCCAUCGGAUGUGCCCAGAUGGGAUUAGCUAGUAGGUGGGGUAACGGCUCACCUAGGCGACGAUCCCUAGCUGGUCUGAGAGGAUGACCAGCCACACUGGAACUGAGACACGGUCCAG
This 228-nucleotide ribosomal RNA is filed under the name uncultured bacterium. Its description in RNAcentral is "partial 16S ribosomal RNA". It matches the Rfam family "Bacterial small subunit ribosomal RNA", at positions 103 to 334 of the family's 1533-position model. The record is from RNAcentral.